GCCCAGCUAGCUCAGUCGGUAGAGCAUGAGACUCCUAAUCUCAGGGUCCUGGGCU
Molecule: transfer RNA, 55 nt
Filed under: Heterocephalus glaber (naked mole-rat)
Lineage: Eukaryota; Metazoa; Chordata; Mammalia; Rodentia; Bathyergidae
Rfam family: tRNA
About the family: Transfer RNA (tRNA) molecules are approximately 80 nucleotides in length. Their secondary structure includes four short double-helical elements and three loops (D, anti-codon, and T loops).
Source: Rfam by way of RNAcentral